Molecule: long non-coding RNA, 1312 nt
Organism: Symphalangus syndactylus (siamang)
Lineage: Eukaryota; Metazoa; Chordata; Mammalia; Primates; Hylobatidae
Source: RefSeq, a predicted model, not a curated record
UUUUUUUUUUUUUUUUUUUGAGACAGAGUCUCACUCUGUCUUCCAGGCUAGAGUGCAAUGAUGCGAUCCCGGCUUACUGCAACCCCCACCUCCUGGGUUCAAGUAAUUCUCCUGCCUCAGCCUCCCGAGUAGCUAGGGUUACAGGCACCUAUCACCAUGCCUGGCUAAUUUUUGUUUUUUUAGUAGAGACAGGGUUUCACCAGGUUGGUCUGGCUGGUCCUGAACUCCUGACCUCAGGUGAUCCACCCGCCUCGGCCUCCCAAAGUGCUGGAAUUACAGGCAUGAGCCACCAUGCCCGGCCAAGAGCCCUCUUUUUAGAGCCUUUAAGAAAGGUCAUGCUAGCUUCUCAGCCUCCCGAGUAGCUGGGAUUAUAGGUAUCCAUGCCUGACACAUUUUUAUAUUUUUUGUAGAAACAGGGUUUCAUUUCACCAUGUUGGCCAGGCUGAUCUCAAACUCCUGACCUCAGGUGAUCCAUCUGCCUCGGCCUCCCAAAGUACUGAGAUUACAGGUGUGAGCCACCAUACCAGGCCUGAAAGUCUUUUAAAAAAUAUUUUUGAGGCCAGGCACAGUGGCUUACGCCUGUAAUCCCAGCACUUAGGCUGAGGCAGGUGGAUUACCUGAGGUCAGGAGUUUGAGACCAGCCUGGCCAACAUGGCGAAACCCUGUCUCUACUAAUAAUAUAAAAAAAUUAGCCGGUUGUGUUGGCACGUGCCUGUAAUCCCAGCUACUCGGGAGGCUGAGGCAGGAGAAUUGCUUGAACCCAGGUGGUGGAGGUUGCAAUGAGCCAAGAUUGGGCUACUGCACUCCAGUCUGGGCAACAGAGCAAGACUCCGUCUCAAUUAAAAAAAAAAAAAAAAAGGCCGGGCGCGGUGGCUCACGCUUGUAAUCCCAGCACUUUGGGAGGCCGAGGCGGGCGGAUCACGAGGUCAGGAGAUGGAGACCACGGUGAAACCCUGUCUCUACUAAAAAUACAAAAAAUUAGCCGGGCGUGGUGGUGGGCGCCUGUAGUCCCAGCUACUCGGAGAGGCUGUGGCAGGAGAAUGGCGUGAACCCGGGAGGCGGAGCUUGCAGUGAGCCGAGAUCGCGCCACUGCACUCCAGCCUGGGUGACAGAGUGAGACUCCAUCUCAAAAAAAAAAAAAAAAAGAUUUUUGAGUCUUUUCAUUUUCAAAAUUGACUCAUCGUAAAUUCAAACAGCAUAAAUCUUAAUCUUUCUCUCAUCCUUUCCCCCCAGCUGCUCAGUUCCUCUUUCUGAAAGCCACCAUGUCUAAUCUGUUUUUUGAAUGUUCUUGAGCUGGUUUGUGCUGACACAA